Long non-coding RNA from Vicia villosa (hairy vetch), 629 nucleotides. RefSeq lists it as uncharacterized. The transcript has 2 exons. Lineage: Eukaryota; Viridiplantae; Streptophyta; Magnoliopsida; Fabales; Fabaceae. The record is from RefSeq and is a predicted model, not a curated record.
ACCAUAAACCAAAUCUAUAUCCAAACCAAACCAUAUUUAAAAACCCAGCCCAAAAUAAAAAAUUAAAACCGGAGGCCCAUUUAUCAAAACUAAAAACAAACCGUAAACCAUUAUUGAAUUCGGAUUUCAUUAUCGGUUACCACUUACCAAAUUUGAGAAAAACCCUAAUUCCCAAACCCUCUCUUCUAUCUCUUCUCUUCUAUCUGAGAUAGCUGUCACAAACCCUAAUUCCCAAAAUUGCCACACCACCCUCCGCCUAAUUCUCUUCCACCUUCUCCAUCUCCGAUUCUCUCUGCACUUUCCGCUCAUUCCAUCCAAUCUUAGAUCCCAGACUCACGACUGAACCGCCGUGUCGAAAACUUCUUGAAGGUACUGAAGCUGCACCCAGGAAGAAGGGAGCUGCUGCUUCUGCCUAAGCCUUUAAUUAUAGUAGUGGAGCUAUUUUUGUGUUGGAUCAUUGAUCUUUGGAAACAUUACUCUAUUUUUAGUUUUCAUUUCCCUCUUUUAAUAUGUAACUGCUGGAUCUUUUGUGGACCAUAUUAGGAUUAAAUAAUGCUACUUUUAAUCUUAAUUUUGUAGAACUUAUGUCUCUUUACAUGUUAAACAGAAUUUGCUCUUAUAAGUCACAA